UCCCGGGACCAAGUCCCUGCCUGCCUC
This 27-nucleotide non-coding RNA is filed under the name Homo sapiens (human). Lineage: Eukaryota; Metazoa; Chordata; Mammalia; Primates; Hominidae. The record is from RNAcentral.